RNAcentral lists this ribosomal RNA (446 nucleotides) under uncultured bacterium. RNAcentral describes it as "bacterial SSU rRNA". It matches the Rfam family "Bacterial small subunit ribosomal RNA", at positions 28 to 457 of the family's 1533-position model. The record is from RNAcentral.
GAUGAACGCUGGCGGCGUGCUUAACACAUGCAAGUCGAACGGGAAACCUUUUAUUGAAGCUUCGGCAGAUUUAGAUUGUUUCUAGUGGCGGACGGGUGAGUAACGCGUGGGUAACCUGCCUUAUACAGGGGGAUAACAGUCAGAAAUGACUGCUAAUACCGCAUAAGCGCACAGAGCUGCGUGGCUCAGUGUGAAAAACUCCGGUGGUAUAAGAUGGACCCGCGUUGGAUUAGCUAGUUGGUGAGGUAACGGCCCACCAAGGCGACGAUCCAUAGCCGGCCUGAGAGGGUGAACGGCCACAUUGGGACUGAGACACGGCCCAGACUCCUACGGGAGGCAGCAGUGGGGAAUAUUGCACAAUGGGGGAAACCCUGAUGCAGCGACGCCGCGUGAAGGAAGAAGUAUCUCGGUAUGUAAACUUCUAUCAGCAGGGAAGAAAAUGACGG